This 269-nucleotide ribosomal RNA is filed under the name uncultured Planctomycetales bacterium. RNAcentral's name for it is "partial 16S ribosomal RNA". It matches the Rfam family "Bacterial small subunit ribosomal RNA", at positions 565 to 832 of the family's 1533-position model. Lineage: Bacteria; Pseudomonadati; Planctomycetota; Planctomycetia; Planctomycetales. The record is from RNAcentral.
GAGCACGUAGGUGGGUUUGUAAGUCAGAUGUGAAAGCCUUCUGUUCAACGGAAGAAUUGCAUCUGAAACUGCGAGUCUUGAGUGUAGGAGGGGAGAAUGGAACUUCUGGUGGAGCGGUGAAAUGCGUAGAUAUCAGAAGGAACGCCGGCGGCGAAAGCGAUUCUCUGGCCUAUUACUGAUACUCAGUGUGCGAAAGCUAGGGGAGCAAACGGGAUUAGAUACCCCGGUAGUCCUAGCCUUAAACGAUGGGCACUAAGUAGAGGGGUUUU